RNAcentral lists this transfer RNA (75 nucleotides) under Accipiter gularis (Japanese sparrowhawk). RNAcentral's name for it is "tRNA-Met". The record is from RNAcentral. Lineage: Eukaryota; Metazoa; Chordata; Aves; Accipitriformes; Accipitridae.
AGCAGGGUCAGGCUAACAAAAGCUAUCGGGGCCUAUACCCCGAAAAAUGAAUGGGUUCAACUCCCUCCUCUGCUA